RNAcentral lists this ribosomal RNA (478 nucleotides) under uncultured bacterium. RNAcentral describes it as "bacterial SSU rRNA". It matches the Rfam family "Bacterial small subunit ribosomal RNA", at positions 29 to 523 of the family's 1533-position model. The record is from RNAcentral.
AACGAACGCUGGCGGCGCGUCUUAAACAUGCAAGUCGAACGAUCUGUAGCAAUACAGGGAGUGGCGGACGGGUGAGGAACACGUAGGAAUCUACCUUGAAGAGCGGGAUAACUUUGGGAAGCCGGGGCUAAUACCGCAUAGUACAGAGAUGUUAAAGGGCUAGCAAUAGUCGCUUCGAGAUGAGCCUGCGGUCUAUCAGCUUGUGGUGAGGUAAUGGCUCACCAAGGCUACGACGGAUAGCCGGUCUGAGAGGAUGAUCGGCCACACUGGCACUGAGACACGGGCCAGACUCCUACGGGAGGCAGCAGUUAAGAAUCUUGCGCAAUGGGGAAACCCUGACGCAGCGACGCCGCGCGAAGGAUGAAGGCUUUCGGGUUGUAAACUUCGGUAGACUGGAAGAAGAAAUACGUUCGUUGAGGGCGUAUAGUGACGGUACCAGUCUGAAGCCCCGGCUAAUACGUGCCAGCAGCCGCGGUAA